RNAcentral lists this ribosomal RNA (254 nucleotides) under uncultured bacterium. RNAcentral's name for it is "partial 16S ribosomal RNA". It matches the Rfam family "Bacterial small subunit ribosomal RNA", at positions 524 to 776 of the family's 1533-position model. The record is from RNAcentral.
UACGGAGGGUGCGAGCGUUAAUCGGAAUUACUGGGCGUAAAGGGUUCGUAGGUGGUUUGAUAAGUUAUCUGUGAAAGCCCUGGGCUUAACCUGGGAAGGCCAGAUAAGACUGUUAGGCUAGAGUAUGGGAGGGGGUAGUGGAAUUUCCGGUGUAGCGGUGAAAUGCGUAGAGAUCGGAAGGAACACCGGUGGCGAAGGCGGCUACCUGGCCUAAUACUGACACUGAAGGACGAAAAGCGUGGGGAGCAAACAGG